AAAUGUGCCAUUUUACUUUAAUCAUCAUUUGAUUUUUUUUCUCCAGGGUCAAAGGAAAGAGAAUCAAAGGCCUUUAAAACAAAGUCUUUGGGGACAUCUCUAAACGUUUUUAGUAGUGUAUAAGCAGCUAACAAGCAAUCCUCCUCAGUGAAACGAAUUGAUUAAUUAAGCAGUCUGAAGGAAUUUAUUUGAGAACUUCAGGCAGACAUUCAAGAUCGGAUCGGCCUCUGAUGACCCACGAAUAAGAGGCGGCUUUCACCUCCUAUUCCCCGCGGGACGGGGUCCCCCCAGAGAGCCGCAAUGGUACAUACCAUGACUUGUAAACACUAAAUGGUUUGAAAUCUGAUUAACUAAAAAUACCUCGACUUAUGCUUACUCUUGACAAUAAAAGUUGGUGAAGCU
Molecule: long non-coding RNA, 402 nt
Filed under: Fukomys damarensis (Damara mole-rat)
Lineage: Eukaryota; Metazoa; Chordata; Mammalia; Rodentia; Bathyergidae
Description: lncRNA (ENSFDAG00000031074.1)
Source: RNAcentral